Molecule: long non-coding RNA, 198 nt
Filed under: Vicia faba (fava bean)
Lineage: Eukaryota; Viridiplantae; Streptophyta; Magnoliopsida; Fabales; Fabaceae
Source: RNAcentral
AUGGCUUUCUCUUAUAGGAAUACCUUAUUCACAGUUAUCUUGAUCUUGGUGACCAUUUUUAUUACUUGUCCACAAUCUGGAGUUGGUUGCAGACCAUUGUUAUUACAUAGUGAAUGGUCAAAUCAAUAUGGCCUUCUUUGGCAAUUGCUUGCAAACAACCCUGCUCCAGUUUCAGAUGGAGAUCACACUCAUCCAUAA